GUAAUCAGCCCCGUCGAACGUUCGAUGACUGCAAAAUCGGGGUCGAUCUUCGGAUCGGCCCCUUUUUUUGUGCCAU
RNAcentral lists this unclassified non-coding RNA (76 nucleotides) under Sphingomonas sp. YR710. RNAcentral's name for it is "suhB". Lineage: Bacteria; Pseudomonadati; Pseudomonadota; Alphaproteobacteria; Sphingomonadales; Sphingomonadaceae. The record is from RNAcentral.